This is a non-coding RNA of Acanthosepion pharaonis, 95 nucleotides long. The record is from the annotation of a GenBank genome assembly. NCBI's taxonomy places the organism in Eukaryota, Metazoa, Mollusca, Cephalopoda, Sepiida, Sepiidae.
UACAGAAACACCUGUUUCCAUGUGAUCACCAAAGUUAAGCAACAUCAAGCCUGGUCAGUAGCUUGAUUGUUGACCUCUUGGGAAUACCAGGUGGU